ACUCCUCCUGCAAAGAUGAGGGGGCAUUUUUAAAAGUUCACUUCCUCAUUUUAUAUUCAUUUAUUCAAGACAGUUACGGAGUGAUGCCGCUUGGGCCAAGGCACAGUUCCCGAUCUUGGGGUGCAUCAGUGACCGGAACAGUCAGAACCCCAGCCACGUGUGGCCUGUACCGUGCAAGAAGCAGCAGCAGCAGCGACAACAACAGCAAUCAAACAGCGGCAUAAGAAAUGAGAAGGCCACAGCGCCGUGCUGGGCAAUGCCCGAGCACAGAGCCGCCCUCAGAUGUCCGUCUUGUCCGCACUUACUCUGAGGAGGACAGUGAACACCAGCACGCAUCUGGCGAACUGAAACUUGUAUUUUUGGUGAUUGCUCGUCAUUUGCUUGGAUCAGAACAAACCGGUGGGUGCAUCUGUAUCAUGCCAAAAUGGACAACAGAAGAAAAAGACAAGCAAGGGGAUUUUCAAUCAAUUUUAAAUCAAGGGGAUUUUUAUUGCCACUGUCUAGCUGACUGAAUACCAGUAAUGAAAUCCUUGGGUUUUGUUUUUCAAAGAGGUGGAUCUUAGAAAAUGAAUCAAUUCUGGACUGAAAAAACUCAGUAUAAAAUUUCCCAUCUUUUUUCUUACUGGCUGUGGAAAUAAAAAUGUUGGGAGAAU
This 653-nucleotide long non-coding RNA is filed under the name Fukomys damarensis (Damara mole-rat). RNAcentral describes it as "lncRNA (ENSFDAG00000022977.1)". The record is from RNAcentral. Lineage: Eukaryota; Metazoa; Chordata; Mammalia; Rodentia; Bathyergidae.